AUUGAAGGUGAUGCCUGCCCGGUGCACCAGAUGUUUAACGGCCGCGGUAUCCUAACCGUGCAAAGGUAACGCAAUCGAUUGUCCCGUAAAUCGGGACUAGAAUGAAUGGCUAAACGAGGUCUUAACUGUCUCUUACAGGCAAUCAGUGAAAUUGAUCUCCCUGUGCAAAAGCAGGGAUAACCACAUAAGACGAGAAGACCCUGUGGAACUUCAAAAACAGCAACCACCCUAAAAUACAUACACACCCACCCCGGGCUCACUUAACUUACAGGUGACUGGUCUGCAUUUUUUCGGUUGGGGCGACCUUGGAGCAAAACAAAACCUCCAAAUAUUAGACCAUUCCUCUAGACUGAGAGCAACUCCUCAACGUGCUAAUAGCAACCAGAUCCAAUACAAUUGAUCAAUGGACCAAGCUACCCCAGGGAUAACAGCGCAAUCUCCUUCGAGAGUCCAUAUCGACGGGGAGGUUUACGACCUCGAUGUUGGAUCAGGACAUCCUAGUGGU
This 505-nucleotide ribosomal RNA is filed under the name Pycnonotus plumosus (olive-winged bulbul). RNAcentral describes it as "partial 16S ribosomal RNA". It matches the Rfam family "Bacterial large subunit ribosomal RNA", at positions 1845 to 2554 of the family's 2925-position model. The record is from RNAcentral. Lineage: Eukaryota; Metazoa; Chordata; Aves; Passeriformes; Pycnonotidae.